This 505-nucleotide ribosomal RNA is filed under the name uncultured bacterium. Its description in RNAcentral is "bacterial SSU rRNA". It matches the Rfam family "Bacterial small subunit ribosomal RNA", at positions 19 to 518 of the family's 1533-position model. The record is from RNAcentral.
AUGGCUCAGGAUGAACGCUAGCGGCAGGCGUAACACAUGCAAGUCGAGGGGCAACGCGAGUAGCAAUACUUGGCGGCGACCGGCGCAAGGGUGCGUAACGCGUGAGCAACAUGCCCGUAUCAGGGGGAUAAUCCAGGGAAACUUGGUCUAAUACCCCAUAGUAAUUUUGUAAGGCAUCUUAUAAGAUUUAAAGCUUUGGUGGAUACGGAUUGGCUCGCGUGACAUUAGCUGGAUGGUAAGGUAACGGCUUACCAUGGCUAUGAUGUCUAGGGGUUCUGAGAGGAAGGUCCCCCACACUGGAACUGAGACACGGUCCAGACUCCUACGGGAGGCAGCAGUGAGGAAUAUUGGACAAUGGAUGGAAAUCUGAUCCAGCCAUGCCGCGUGAAGGAAAGAAGGUCCUAUGGAUUGUAAACUUCUUUUGUAUGGGAGCAAUAAGGCCUACGAGUAGGUUGAUGAGAGUACCAUACGAAUAAGCACCGGCUAACUCCGUGCCAGCCGCAGC